UUAAUUUAUGAUUCGAAUUGCAUUGAUUAAUAUUAUUUUGUUAUGAAAUCUCACCCCUUCUGCUUGAAAAUGUUGCCCUUCGUAUGGGUAACUUGCAGGUGAUCGUGCUUAGUGUGCAGUUUCCGUCGUGAGUGGCCUUGCCUUCACUGUGUCGUCUAGGUCGCUCUGAUACGUAACGGGAUGGGGCUAUAUGUUAUGCAUGCUUCGUUCUAUUACGUGAAUACUAUGCUAUUUGUGAUAUUGAACUAACUCUUUUGAGAUUAUUUUGAUGGGGCCUGCGUGCCAAAACGUUUUAUGAUUAUGAUAUAAUUUCCGCUGCAAUGUUUAAGAUAUUUGGUUAAAUUAUUAUUUAACUGUUUUGGAUUAUGUUAUAUGUGAUAUCCCGUUGUUUAUGAUGCUUACUCUGAUAAAUGAUUUAAGAAAUUUGUAUAUUGGGAAAACGGGGUGUUACA
This 452-nucleotide long non-coding RNA is filed under the name Medicago truncatula (barrel medic). RNAcentral describes it as "long non-coding RNA (MTRU_LNC008432)". The record is from RNAcentral. Lineage: Eukaryota; Viridiplantae; Streptophyta; Magnoliopsida; Fabales; Fabaceae.